RNAcentral lists this ribosomal RNA (253 nucleotides) under uncultured bacterium. RNAcentral describes it as "partial 16S ribosomal RNA". It matches the Rfam family "Bacterial small subunit ribosomal RNA", at positions 524 to 776 of the family's 1533-position model. The record is from RNAcentral.
UACGUAGGGACCAAGCGUUGUUCGGAUUUACUGGGCGUAAAGGGCGCGUAGGCGGCUUGUCAAGUCACUUGUGAAAUCUCUGGGCUUAACCCAGAACGGCCAAGUGAAACUGACAUGCUAGAGUGCAGAAGGGGCAAUCGGAAUUCUUGGUGUAGCGGUGAAAUGCGUAGAUAUCAAGAGGAACACCUGGGGUGAAGACGGGUUGCUGGGCUGACACUGACGCUGAGGCGCGAAAGCCAGGGGAGCAAACGGG